CCUACGGGUGGCAGCAGUGGGGAAUAUUGCACAAUGGGGGAGACCCUGAUGCAGCAAAGCCGCGUGAAGGAAGACGGUUUUCGGAUUGUAAACUUCUGUUCUUAGUGAAGAAGAAUGACGGAAGCGAAGGAGCAAGCAACGGCCAACUACGUGAGAGCAGCCGCGGUAAUACGUAGGUGGCAAGCGUUGUCCGGAAUUGCUGGGUGUAAAGGGAGCGCAGGGGGGAAGCCAAGUCAGCUGUGAAAAUUACGGGCUUAACGUGUAGACUGCAGUUGAAACUGGUUUUCUUGAGUGAAGUAGAGGUUGGCGGAAUUCCGGGUGUAGCGGUGAAAUGCGUAGAUAUGCGGAGGAACACCGGUGGCGAAGGCGGCCAACUGGGCUUUAACUGACGCUGAGGCUCGAAAGUGUGGGGAGCAAACAGGAUUAGAUACCCGAGUAGUC
RNAcentral lists this ribosomal RNA (441 nucleotides) under uncultured bacterium. RNAcentral's name for it is "partial 16S ribosomal RNA". It matches the Rfam family "Bacterial small subunit ribosomal RNA", at positions 338 to 795 of the family's 1533-position model. The record is from RNAcentral.